ACAUUUGUAUGCUUGCAGAACUACUAACACAAAAUAAUGAUGUUGACAAUCAUAACUGAAUUGUUUUUCAUAUCUUACUUUGCAGGAUAUCUGGUGUGGAUCAUGGUAAUUUUAUUCCUCCUCAUCGGCGUCGUGAUCUUCAUAUUUGUCUUCAUGUGUCAGAAAUAUAGGAAGGUUAGUUUUCGGGUGAAUGGAAAAUGCGAUGAUCACGAUGAAACGGUACCAUUGGAGAAUGUUCAACCUCUGGAUGCAGAAGCUGCUGGGGCAACUGCCGGAGUUACUGGUGGAAUUGACAACGUGGUGAAAGAAACAGAUGAGAAAACUGCAGUUGGAGAUGUCCCAGCAGCUGUGGACGGGACAGCUGGCAAGGACUUGAAGGAGGAAACGAAGCAGGAAGCACCAACAACUUCCCCAUCAGAGGGUGGAGAUGAUAAGGAAAGCAUUGAUACAAAGAACGGUCCAACUGUGGGAGAAAGUGAUGAGAAAGAUGACAGCAAGACUGCUGAUGAUAAAGAUGAAGAGGAGGAAAAAAAAGAUGGUGCAAAGGAUGAAAAGUCUGACUCUUCCUCCAUUUCCCUCCUUUCCCCCGAUGAGAUCUCCAAAGCCACCAUGGCAAUGGAGUCGAGUCCCACAGAGGGGAGUCAAGAAACUGCUACAAUGAACGAGAAUUCUAACAACAACAACAACAACAACAACAUUGCACGUGCCAGUCGGCAACGUGUAGGAGGUGAACUUGUUAGUAGCCCACUCAAUCCCCUGGGAAUGACGAGAUCACCUGCUGAGAUGUCUGCCCCUGCUUAUGUGACGAUGGAGAAAAAUGCUGUGUGGGAGGAUGGUGCUGCUGCCUUUUCUGCUUUGUAAUCAUUUGACAAAGAUGGAGCCAAGAUUGAAUCAAAUGGGAUUCAUUGUAACAUUGAGGAACACAUUUGCUUUGAAUAACCGAUAUUGUCGACGACACGUCUUAGGAUUAUCCAUUUCUUCUUUUUAUUUAGCACUGGAAUGAUAGAUGUUUGCUCUUUUCAAACGUUUUUGGAUCAUUGUUAGUGAAACUUGCAUUGUGCUUUUUUUUUUUUCAUGUUCAUAGUUUUGCAUUUCUUCACUUUGUAUUUGAAUUUAAAGGUUGCAACAUAUGAGAGUGGGUGGUGGACAGAGAGAGGGGGAGAGAGAAAAACUUGGAAUUAUGUCUUGGGAUUAAAAACCACACCUGCGUAUUACACCAUUCGUAUUGCAUUGGGCUUUGUUUAAUGUCAUACAUUUUGCACUUUAAUGGCCAAACCUGAGUGUAGAAUUCACAGUAAAUGUUUUUCUGAAACGAGGUUUAUUUAUGAGGUUUGCUCUUGAAAUUUAGCAUGGGGCCUGCAAGGCUUGCCUCUGCUUUAGCAGGGGAAAUGGCCUUAAAAUGUGUGAGUGUGUGUGUGUGCUCUUGAAAUUUUGAUUAGCUUUUUUCAAAGCUUCACACUUAUCGGAUUGAAUGCACAUGGACUUCAUUCCACCAGAUCACAGAAGCUAUGCAGUCAGGCUCGCAGGAUGGCCUAGAUGUACGCACACUUCUCUGAGCAGUCUAGCUAGGGUUUCAAUCUCGCCGCAGUGACAAACUCUCAUCCCUGUGUUUCACAGGCAUGGCGAAACACCAUUGUGCACCGUCCCUCUGAUAAACUUGGCGUCCCAUCUGCCAGCAUUAGUGGGUGGACCAGAAUGAUUCCACUGUGUCCUUACUGAAGAGUAGGCAAGCUAUCGCCGGCACAAACAAAUUACAAAUUCGUGCCAUUACCAACGAUGAAGGAGGGGGAGGAGGGGGUGGGCAUCGCAUCAGCGGCAUAGCUGUGUCCUUGGCAAAUGAUGCUGCUUGUAGCCAUGUGCUCCAUACGGAAGAAGAAGAAGAAGAAGGUGGUGAAAGCUGUAUGCUUGCAUGUUUGUUCGUCAUUAUGUUUCAUUUACAUUAAAAAUAGGAAGGAUAAUUUAGUAACACCCUGUAUAAUAUAGGCAAUAAAGAUUACCAGGGUAUUGCUUGUUGAAAAGAAGACAUUUUGAGCCAAUAUUCUGGCUAAAUUCCCCGAAUCGAAAUUCAUUGUGAUGCUCGAUGACGACAAUUGUAAGAAUGGCAUUAGUACACAAGGAAGGUAAGUAAAUUGAUAGAUGAAGUCGAUGUGAUGUGGAUAAAGCACAGGCAUGAGGGUCCAAAUGCCCUCCUGUGUCAAGUUCCUUGCAUCGUGUAAUUUGUGAAUUUUAACUUGAAUUUUAGAACUUAUUUGGAUCACCGCCUAAUGUUCCCAUCUAAACUGACUCAUGAGAUGGGGAGCCCAGCUCAAAUCUCAUCUGCCACACAUUUGUCUAUUUUCUACUAUAUAUUGUCCUUGUAAUUUGGACGUAAAGUACAUUAAUAUCCACAAAUGUCUUUGUCCUGCUUUACAUAUGCUGAUCUGUUCCCAUUUUGUUUCUUGUGUGUUAGUCCUCCUUGUGUAUGCCCACCCCCCACCCCUUCUACCCUUUGGUAGUUUGUGAACUUACUGACCAUUGUUGUUGAGCUCCUCCAUGAGCGUCAAACCUCGUAUGAAAAAUGUGGUCAUCUACAAACUCCUCCAUGAGCCUUAGAUCAUUGUGAAAAAAUAAACGAGAAAAAGACCUUUUGCAGAGCACGAUACUUGCAAAGUCCACCCCUCCCCCAUCUCCAAAGGUUGCCAUGGAUACAUCAAAUUGUCCAUUUCAUUAAGAUUAAAAUUGACAAUCUUAUAUUACUCAAAGCUCAGGUCAAUUGGAUGAAAAUUGAUUAUUUUUCAGAUUGAAAUGGAUGAUUUUAGAAGUUUGACCUUGAGUUAACAUUUGACCUUUUGACCUCAAAUAGUUGCCUUCCAAAUUUAGUGAUGGAUGAUUCUAAUCCUGUUGAACUUUCUUCAAGUUAAUAGGAUGUAAACUGACAAUUUUUCAGUUGACAAUUGAUAAUUUUAGAUGUUUGCCCUUGAGUUGACCUUUGACCUUUUGAUCUAAAAAAAAAGAAAAGAAGUUGGUUUCCCAAUUUAGUAAUGCAAUUGCUGUUUAAUUUCCAGGUCGAUAGGAUGAAAAUCGAUGAUUUUUUCAGAUAAAAAUUGAUGAUUUUAGAAGUUUGACCUUGCGUUGACCUUUUGACCUCAAAUAGUUGAUUUCCCAAUUCAGUGAUGCAAUAUGCGAAUCCUGUUCAAAUAUCAAGUCUGUCAGAUGAAAAAUGACUUUUAGAAAUUUGAUCUUGAGAUGACCUUUGACUUUUGACGUCAAAAUUAAUAGGUUUCUCAGCUGAGGCUACCUCGCCAACUUGGUGAAGUUUCGUGAAGAUAGGUUUUACAUUGUGACAGGUGAAUAACAGACAGACAGACAGACAGAACAACAAUCUACUGACCAAUGCACUUGAAAAAUCUUUGAUUUUGCAAGUAAAGAAACGGCUUUCAUUUCCAUCCGUCUCACCGCGUGCACUCAUCAAUGAAGUUCGAGUUUGUGGAAUGCUCGAACAAACCAUUAAGGUAGAAAUAACAACAUUUAUAAAACGACAACUGCAGUUCUUAUCAAGAAUUCCAAAGCAAACAUCUUAUAUCGGUUCCAAUAGCAUUUAAUCUUUUUCAAUUUCAGUCGGGACAGAAGAGUUAAUGUAAUUAUUUGAUCAACACUUUCUCUACUCCAAUUUAAUUGGCAAAUUAAAAAAAAAAAAAGUGGUCAAGUAAUAAUGGAUCUUUGUCAGGAAUUAAUCAAAUUUUGUGAAUAAAGGCUUAUUAGAUCUGUACAAAAUGUUACUGAGUGUAGUUCUCGUGAGGGAUCCACUUUAAGGGCUGUGGGUGUUGAUAGGUCUCUCGUAUUACAUUAAUGACAACUUAUCCACUGAACAACUGUCAUUGAAAUGUCACUAGUUGUACGAAGGAUAUCAACAAGAUGGCGGCUCAUGGUAAAGUUCCCUCAAAGGAUGGUGUGGGGGAGGGGCAAAAAUUAAUAUCUCAAUUUGUGAUGAAGGUGAUAAAUGUCUUGAGGUUAAUCAGAUUCCAAGCACAUCUUGGUGAUGGUGAACUAUUGCCGAUGAAUGCAGCCCAGCUGCCGCAACCUCUAUUGACUGUCUGCUUCAUCCAAACAUCAGGCCUGUCUGGCAAGUUUGUGAAAGAGAAUUGGAACACAAACAUUCCUUGGACCACCCCACAAGAAGGUGGGAAUAAUUUGGCCUGCUAAAGUACGCUAGUAGUAUUUAUAUAAAGAGGCGAGAACAAUAUGGGCUUAUGCAAGCAGUAUUCAUACUAACCCUUCUAAUUUUGUAACAAACAGAUGGGAGCAGAUGAGUCUCUGGUGACCUUUCAUCCGGUUGGUGAUAGACCUCCUGAGGCCAAAAUAUUCCAGGCCAAAGGCUGUGGCCGCUUUCGCUCACCCCAGACCCGAUGUGUGUCCUUUUUAUUCCUAUGUAGCCAUUUCUCAUCAUGUGCUCGUGCAAGGAGUGAAUCGAUGAGUGUUUUCACAUCUUUGGUGUCGAUCAUCUUCUCUGCCUUGUUUUAUCAUUCGGUGUGAUCUGGUGUCACAUGUAGUGUGCAGUUUUUAGUUGUUGUACUUCCAUUGCAGGAACUCCUCUGCCUGUUUGCCUGGUUGCAAUGCAGUGACGUGUUGGUUGUGAAAUUUGUGGUUUCACUGGUGAAAGUUGGGUGUGGUGUUGUUGAGCACUGAGGUUGCGGCAUAUGGUGAAGUAUAGGGUGUAGUAAACUUUUUAAGUCGUGUACAAGUGUGGUCACCUUGUUUGCUCAACUUACCUGACUGUACCUUGCACAAUGGAUUGUUGCCAUUUGUAUUAUUGUUGUGUAUUUUGUGGGUAUGUGCAAGGUCUCCCCAACACCACACAUACACACACACACACACACACACGAAUAUUUCUAGUUCUUCAAGGUGGCGGUAUUAAGGACAUUUCUGUAUUCAAAACAAAUUUGUUCUAUCAAAUGCUGCAUUUAGCUGCUUGUUUGCAUGAUCUUGCAAUGGUGUGGUGAUCCCAAUUCUCUACCCUCCACAGCUUCCAUUUUCUCUUGUAUCUUGCCCCAUUUCCCUUCCUUUUAUGAAUCCCCUUUUCCAUAAUUAAUAUGGAGACUGGCUCUGACUCCACCUUGUUUGUUAGUAUUUCCAAAGUUUUGAAAUAGACAUUCCUCUUUCCUGCUGUCUGGAUUGCAUGUUUAGAGAUGGUGUGUAAGCAGCCAAUACAACUCUGAAGCAACUUCCUGAAUCCUUCUCAAGAAAUGGCAAUUGUUCCGUGCCCUUCACAAACUUCUGAUAUGAAUGUUUAAUUUAACACACUAACUUCUUAUUUGCUCAUUAAAAAAAUGACAAUCAAGUGUCAAGACGGAUUCCUCAAAUUAUCUCUGGUGCAAACUUC
This 5359-nucleotide long non-coding RNA is filed under the name Eptatretus burgeri (inshore hagfish). Its description in RNAcentral is "lncRNA (ENSEBUG00000017355.1)". Lineage: Eukaryota; Metazoa; Chordata; Myxini; Myxiniformes; Myxinidae. The record is from RNAcentral.